UACACGACCGUACCGCAAACCGACACUGGUGCGCGAGAUGAGUAUUCUAAGGCGCUUGAGAGAACUCAGGAGAAGGAACUCGGCAAAUUGACACCGUAACUUCGGAAGAAGGUGUGCCUUUAGUAGGUGAACCUGUACAAGGGGAGCCCAAUGAGGUUGCAAAAAAUCGGUGGCUGCGACUGUUUAAUAAAAACACAGCACUCUGCAAACACGAAAGUGGACGUAUAGGGUGUGACGCCUGCCCGGUGCUGGAAGAUUAAAUGAUGGGGUGCAAGCUCUUGAUUGAAGUCCCAGUAAACGGCGGCCGUAACGAUAACGGUCCUAAGGUAGCGAAAUUCCUUGUCGGGUAAGUUCCGACCUGCACGAAUGGCGUAACGAUGGCCACACUGUCUCCUCCUGAGACUCAGCGAAGUUGAAAUGUUUGUGAUGAUGCAAUCUCCCCGCGGAAAGACGGAAAGACCCCAUGAACCUUUACUGUAGCUUUGUAUUGGACUUUGAACAGAUCUGUGUAGGAUAGGUGGGAGGCUUUGAAGUGUGGUCGCUAGAUCGCAUGGAGCCAACGUUGAAAUACCACCCUGGUGUGUUUGAGGUUCUAACCUAGGCCCGUAAUCCGGGUCGGGGACAGUGCAUGGUAGGCAGUUUGACUGGGGCGGUCUCCUCCCAAAGCGUAACGGAGGAGUUCGAAGGUACGCUAGGUACGGUCGGACAUCGUGCUAAUAGUGCAAUGGCAUAAGCGUGCUUAACUGCGAGACUGACAAGUCGAGCAGAUGCGAAAGCAGGACAUAGUGAUCCGGUGGUUCUGUAUGGAAGGGCCAUCGCUCAACGGAUAAAAGGUACUCUGGGGAUAACAGGCUGAUACCGCCCAAGAGUUCAUAUCGACGGCGGUGUUUGGCACCUCGAUGUCGGCUCAUCUCAUCCUGGGGCUGUAGCCGGUCCCAAGGGUAUGGCUGUUCGCCAUUUAAAGAGGUACGUGAGCUGGGUUUAAAACGUCGUGAGACAGUUUGGUCCCUAUCUUCCGUGGGCGCUGCAGAUUUGAGGAAGCCUGCUCCUAGUACGAGAGGACCGGAGUGGACACACCUCUGGUGUAUCGGUUGUCACGCCAGUGGCAUUGCCGAGUAGCUAUGUGUGGAAGAGAUAACCGCUGAAAGCAUCUAAGCGGGAAACUCGUUUCAAGAUGAGAUCUGCCGGGGCCUUGAGCCCCCUAAAGAGUCGUUCAAGACCAGGACGUUGAUAGGUCGGGUGUGGAAGCGCAGUAAUGCGUUAAGCUAACCGAUACUAAUUGCUCGUGCGGCUUGACC
RNAcentral lists this ribosomal RNA (1298 nucleotides) under metagenome. Its description in RNAcentral is "bacterial LSU rRNA". It matches the Rfam family "Bacterial large subunit ribosomal RNA", at positions 1635 to 2925 of the family's 2925-position model. The record is from RNAcentral.